AAAAUUCAAAAAUAUGCGCCAUAAAUAACGGCUCCUUUCGGUCUGCAAACGCCCACAGUCGGACAUAUCGAAAUUCAUAAGUGAUUUACUUGAUCGUGCAAAGACGCUGUAAAUUAGCUGCGCUGGCGCGUUUGUUACUUUAGUUUUUUAUGUGUAAUUCCACGCAAAAACACGAAAACAUAAUUCAGUUGAUAUUAGCGUUUAGCUCUCUACAAGUAUAUCAUAUUUUUUAAAUUUAUUGAUCUUACAUAUUUAAUUUUAAUUUCUUUAUCAGAAAAUCAAUUUAGUUAAUUUACUUUAAUUGUAUUUAACCUUAUUUAUUACUAAGCACAAACGAUAAUUUAAAUAAAAAAACUUUUGUAUCAAGUUGCAUAAUAUAAAUAACACAUUAGAUUUUAAUCGGUUAAUUAGUAAACACGAAACAAAGUAAAAAUAAAAAAACAAAAGUGUAGUAUAACCAAAAAAUAUUCAUACAAGCUAAGUCUAAUACUAGAUUACAGAAAUUAUAGUCGCAUUAAAAUUAAGGCAAAGUAAAAGCAUGACAACACAGAACAAGAAGAAAUCUCAAACCAAAAGAAAUUCGCGAAAAAAAUAAAGAAUCAAAUAAAUAACUUUAAUUUGUAUGUGAGGCAAAGCUGACGUUGAUUAUUGUAUAUCACUGUAUUUAUACAGUAUGGUGGUAGAAAUAGGCUUCUGAAGUAAAANAAAAAAAAAAAAUCUUAAUUGUAUUCAUCAAAAAAGUCAUCUCACAAACUUCAUACAUAUUUACAUUUAAUGCUUAAAAUACACUUGUAUGUACGCAAUUUAUUUGCAAGAUUAAAAUAACAGACUAGAUUACAAGCACUCAGCUUUGAGAAAUAACAAAGUAACUUACAUUUUUGGUUUCUUUUUUAAGCGUGAAAAUUUUUAAGUCAAACCCUAACACUUUAAUGACAAAGAAAGAGGCAUUAAAGCCCAGUAAAAAAUAGCGUUAUUUUCCCGAUGAGCAUACUAGCAAUUUUCCAAAAGUGUGCUUUUAAUCAAAAAAAAAAAA
This is a long non-coding RNA of Rhagoletis zephyria (snowberry fruit fly), 1033 nucleotides long. RefSeq lists it as uncharacterized. NCBI's taxonomy places the organism in Eukaryota, Metazoa, Arthropoda, Insecta, Diptera, Tephritidae. The record is from RefSeq and is a predicted model, not a curated record.